This 434-nucleotide ribosomal RNA is filed under the name uncultured Sphingomonas sp. RNAcentral's name for it is "bacterial SSU rRNA". It matches the Rfam family "Bacterial small subunit ribosomal RNA", at positions 29 to 504 of the family's 1533-position model. Lineage: Bacteria; Pseudomonadati; Pseudomonadota; Alphaproteobacteria; Sphingomonadales; Sphingomonadaceae. The record is from RNAcentral.
AACGAACGCUGGCGGCAUGCCUAACACAUGCAAGUCGAACGAAUGCCCUUCGGGGUGUUAGUGGCGCACGGGUGCGUAACGCGUGGGAAUCUGCCCUUUGGUACGGGAUAACAGCGGGAAACUGCUGCUAAUACCGUAUGAUGACGUAAGUCCAAAGAUUUAUCGCCAGAGGAUGAGCCCGCGUAGGAUUAGCUAGUUGGUGGGGUAAAGGCCUACCAAGGCUACGAUCCUUAGCUGGUCUGAGAGGAUGAUCAGCCACACUGGGACUGAGACACGGCCCAGACUCCUACGGGAGGCAGCAGUGGGGAAUAUUGGACAAUGGGCGCAAGCCUGAUCCAGCAAUGCCGCGUGAGUGAUGAAGGCCUUAGGGUUGUAAAGCUCUUUUACCCGGGAAGAUAAUGACUGUACCGGGAGAAUAAGCCCCGGCUAACUCC